RNAcentral lists this unclassified non-coding RNA (414 nucleotides) under Hevea brasiliensis (rubber tree). Lineage: Eukaryota; Viridiplantae; Streptophyta; Magnoliopsida; Malpighiales; Euphorbiaceae. The record is from RNAcentral.
UCAAGUGAGGAACAAGCCUAGAAACAAGAUAGUCAUUACAACUUGAGAAUGCUCUAGCACUAAACACAUUCUAAUAAUACAACAAAUUAGUCACAACUGAAUCCACUGUAAUUUUUGUAAUCCUCAUGAAAAUUUAGUCAAAAGUCACACCAAUCAGCCACACAGAGACAUCAGGCAAGGAAAACAGCUAUCCAGUCAAAACCAUGGAUACUCGAAGUACAGAAUAAAAUGAAAAAUCAACAACCAUGAAGAGAAGAAUAGUGUUGGAAAAGAAUUGGUUGUCAAAAUAUUGUGGCUCCCAAUUGUGUUGAUGUGCUGGUGUGUGCACAUGCUCACACAAAAGCAAAAACCAUAAUCUUAUUUCUAACUUAAAUGUCUUUGACUUUACUCCAUUUAACCCAUAGACUAACACUA